GCACUGGUCUUAUUGGUUCUCACCUUCUAAAGAACCAUGAUGUCAUUCAUUUGAUGUUAUGGGGAAUUAGGACUGUUACCUUGAAAAAAUUAGAGUGUUUAAAGCAAGCUUACGCUUGAAUACAUUAGCAUGGAAUAAUGAAAUAGGACAUCAGAUUCUAUUUUGUUGGUUUCUAGGAUCGAUGUAAUGAUUAAUAGGGAUAGUUGGGA
RNAcentral lists this ribosomal RNA (209 nucleotides) under uncultured fungus. RNAcentral describes it as "partial 18S ribosomal RNA". It matches the Rfam family "Eukaryotic small subunit ribosomal RNA", at positions 693 to 887 of the family's 1831-position model. Lineage: Eukaryota; Fungi. The record is from RNAcentral.